AUACGGAGGGGGCAAGCGUUGUUCGGAAUUACUGGGCGUAAAGCGCGCGUAGGCGGGCUGGUUAGUUGGGGGUGAAAUCCCAGGGCUUAACCCUGGAACUGCCUUCAAUACUGCCAGUCUAGAGUUCGAGAGAGGUGAGUGGAAUUCCUAGUGUAGAGGUGAAAUUCGUAGAUAUUAGGAAGAACACCAGUGGCGAAGGCGGCUCACUGGCUCGAUACUGACGCUGAGGUGCGAAAGCGUGGGGAGCAAACAGGAUUAGAAACCCUGGUAGUCC
This 274-nucleotide ribosomal RNA is filed under the name uncultured bacterium. Its description in RNAcentral is "partial 16S ribosomal RNA". It matches the Rfam family "Bacterial small subunit ribosomal RNA", at positions 523 to 796 of the family's 1533-position model. The record is from RNAcentral.